GUGUUCGUAGCUCAGCUGGAUAGAGCAACGGCCUUCUAAGCCGUGGGUCGGGGGUUCGAAUCCCUUCGGGCACA
This 74-nucleotide transfer RNA is filed under the name Eubacterium sp. RNAcentral describes it as "tRNA-Arg". It matches the Rfam family "tRNA". Rfam says of the family: Transfer RNA (tRNA) molecules are approximately 80 nucleotides in length. Lineage: Bacteria; Bacillati; Bacillota; Clostridia; Eubacteriales; Eubacteriaceae. The record is from RNAcentral. RNAcentral also lists the same sequence under 4 other names.